This 373-nucleotide ribosomal RNA is filed under the name Cerdistus sp. LRC-2002. RNAcentral's name for it is "eukaryotic LSU rRNA". Lineage: Eukaryota; Metazoa; Arthropoda; Insecta; Diptera; Asilidae. The record is from RNAcentral.
UUAGAGGUUAAGCCCGAUGNCCCUGAAUAUCUAAUAUGAAAAAUUCAUCAUUAAUAUUAUAUUAUUUAUUAUUAAUAAUAUAAAAAUAAUGUGCAAUUUUUUCAUAUAAAGACAUUGUAAUCUGUUAAUAUAAAAAUUAUAAAAUUUAUCAAAAGUAUCGUUUAUGAAUCAGUUUAUAUUUUAAUAUAAUAGUAAUAUUAUAUUUUUAUAAAAUUCAUGAAAAUACGAUUACGGAUAAAUUAUUGACAGAUUUAUUAUAUAUAACGCUUACAUAGCUUAUUUAUGUUAUAGUAAAAUUUUAAUUAUAUAAUUAAAAUUUUUAUUAUAUGCGUUUAUAUGAUUAACAAUGCUAUAGAUUUAGGAUACCUUCGGG